This 379-nucleotide long non-coding RNA is filed under the name Fukomys damarensis (Damara mole-rat). RNAcentral describes it as "lncRNA (ENSFDAG00000030876.1)". Lineage: Eukaryota; Metazoa; Chordata; Mammalia; Rodentia; Bathyergidae. The record is from RNAcentral.
GGCUGGCUGAGACCGGACAUGAAAGCUGCAUAAAUACUCGAUUCUAUUCCAACCCACAGAAACACAGGCUUCGCCCUCUCAGUUCUCGGUCCCGCGUCGUGAGGCUGACAAGUGAGGCAGAUUCACAGCGUUAAACACCAGCCAUAGGAGUGACUUCUCCCACAUCCUCUGGGAGAGCGUGUGGGCAUUCUCCUGCAGGUCUAAACUCCUCCCACCAACGUGUGUGCAAAGCCGAGGAGAGAGAGAGGUUUUUUGGCAGGUCUUGAACAUUUAUGGAAGACAUCUGGAGGGAAUAUGUGGGGAUGACAGAAGAGAUGUCCCAAGAGAUAGGAGUGAAAGUCGGGGCAACUCCAUCGCCAGAAAAACAGGACCAGAUCAC